This 1304-nucleotide ribosomal RNA is filed under the name Cleora fraterna. RNAcentral's name for it is "16S ribosomal RNA". Lineage: Eukaryota; Metazoa; Arthropoda; Insecta; Lepidoptera; Geometridae. The record is from RNAcentral.
AGUAAUUUUAAUUUAUUGAUAUUUUAUUGGGGGUUAAAGUAUUAUUUAAAGAAAAAAUUUACAAGUUUAUAGUUAAUUAGUAUUGUGAAAGAAUUUUGAAAUAAUUUGAAAAUGAAUUAAUUAAAAAGUAAUUUUUAUUUAAUGUAUCUUGUGUAUCAGAGUUUAUUAAAAAUUUUUAAUUUAUAUUUUAAUUUCUCGAAUUUAAAAGAGUUAAAUAAUUAUAAAAGUUAAUGUAGCAAAAUUAUUUUUAAUAGUUAUUUUGAAAUGAAAUGUUAAUCGUUUUUAAAUAUAUCUAGUUUUUUUAGAAAAAAAUUUAAUUUUAAAUUUAUUUUUCAUGAUUUUAAUUAAUUAAAAUCAUGAAAAAUAUAAAUUUUAUAUUUUAAGGGAUAAGCUUUAAAUUAAAUUUUUAUAAUAAUUAAUUUUUAUUUUAAAAUUUUUAGAAUUUAUAUUGUUAAUAAAUUUUAUUUUAUUAUAAAUAAUUUUAUUUUAAUUAAAAUUUAAAAAUUUUAUUUAAAUUUUUAUAAAAAAAUAUAUUUUAAUUUAAAAAAUUUAAAAAUAAUGAUAAAAUUAGUAUAUUACAAAAUUAUUAAUAAUUAAAAUUUAAUUUAUUAAUUUAAUUAAGUAAAAGUAAUUCGGCAAAUAUUUAUUUUCACUUGUUUAUCAAAAACAUGUCUUUUUGUUGUUUAUUUAAAGUCUAAUCUGCCCACUGAUUUAUAAUUGAAGGGCUGCAGUAUUUUGACUGUACAAAGGUAGCAUAAUCAUUAGCUUCUUAAUUGGUGGCUUGUAUGAAAGAUUGGAUGAGAAAUAUACUGUCUCUUACUUAAUUUAUAGAAUUUAAUUUUUUAUUUAAAAAGUUAAAAUAAUUUAAAAAGACGAGAAGACCCUAUAGAGUUUUAUAAAUAAGUUUAUAAAAUAUAGUUUAUAUAAUUAAAAUUUUUAUAAAUUUAUUUAUUUUGUUGGGGUGAUAGAAAAAUAUAUUAAACUUUUUUUAUAAAAUUAACAUAAAUAAGUGAUUAAUUGAUCCAAUACUAUUGAUUAUAAGAUUAAAUUACCUUAGGGAUAACAGCGUAAUUUUUUUUUUUAGUUCAAAUAAGAAAAAGAGUUUGCGACCUCGAUGUUGGAUUAAGAUAAAAUUUAAAUGCAAAAGUUUAAAGUUUUUGAUCUGUUCGAUCAUUAAAAUCUUACAUGAUCUGAGUUCAAACCGGUGUGAGCCAGGUUGGUUUCUAUCUUUUAAAUUUUAAAAUAUUUUAGUACGAAAGGAUCAAAUAUUUUAAUUAAAUUGUUAUUAAUGAAUUUUAUUAAUU